This 429-nucleotide ribosomal RNA is filed under the name bacterium. RNAcentral describes it as "partial 16S ribosomal RNA". It matches the Rfam family "Bacterial small subunit ribosomal RNA", at positions 355 to 776 of the family's 1533-position model. The record is from RNAcentral.
UAGGGAAUCUUCGGCAAUGGGGGCAACCCUGACCGAGCAACGCCGCGUGAGUGAAGGAGGUUUUCGGAUCGUAAAGCUCUGUUGUAAGAGAAGAACGUGUGUGAGAGUGGAAAGUUCACACAGAGACGGUAACUUACCAGAAAGGGACGGCUAACUACGUGCCAGCAGCCGCGGUAAUACGUAGGUCCCGAGCGUCGUCCGGAUUUAUUGGGAGUAAAGCGAGCGCAGGCGGUUUAAUAAGUCUGAAGUUAAAAGCAGUGGCUUAAACAUUGUUCGCUUUGGAAACUGUUAAACUUGAGUGCAGAAGGGGAGAGUGGAAUUCCAUGUGUAGCGGUGAAAUGCGUAGAUAUAUGGAGGAACACCGGUGGCGAAAGCGGCUCUCUGGUCUGUAACUGACGCUGAGGCUCGAAAGCGUGGGGAGCAAACAGG